CGCUCAGAUUAGUCAAGCCACAUUCAGAUCUGGACAUCCAUUUGUUGGUUGCACUUGGUGUGCUAUGUUAAUGGUUGGACCUAAUCGGAAUUUUCAGUGGAGUUGCCACAUGCCUACUGAAAUGAUGUCUGGGGCAAAACUUAUUGCUAGAAGUUGUUUAGAGAAACAAUUGAUUAUGAACCUAUCUAUAGAUGCACUAAGGUUGGUCAAGCCACACUCGAACCC
RNAcentral lists this long non-coding RNA (225 nucleotides) under Elaeis guineensis (African oil palm). Its description in RNAcentral is "long non-coding RNA (EGUI_LNC058708)". Lineage: Eukaryota; Viridiplantae; Streptophyta; Magnoliopsida; Arecales; Arecaceae. The record is from RNAcentral.